RNAcentral lists this ribosomal RNA (253 nucleotides) under uncultured bacterium. RNAcentral's name for it is "partial 16S ribosomal RNA". It matches the Rfam family "Bacterial small subunit ribosomal RNA", at positions 524 to 776 of the family's 1533-position model. The record is from RNAcentral.
UACGUAGGGGGCGAGCGUUGUCCGGAUUUAUUGGGCGUAAAGAGCUUGUAGGCGGUCUGUCGCGUCUGCUGUGAAAAUCCGGGGCUCAACCCCGGACUUGCAGUGGGUACGGGCAGACUAGAGUGUGGUAGGGGAGACUGGAAUUCCUGGUGUAGCGGUGAAAUGCGCAGAUAUCAGGAGGAACACCGAUGGCGAGGGCAGGUCUCUGGGCCACUACUGACGCUGAGAAGCGAAAGCAUGGGGAGCGAACAGG